Non-coding RNA from Paramuricea clavata, 490 nucleotides. The record is from the annotation of a GenBank genome assembly. Lineage: Eukaryota; Metazoa; Cnidaria; Anthozoa; Malacalcyonacea; Plexauridae.
GAAAUUUUCUCGCAAGAAUAUCUCUUUCCUUGUGCAUCCAGAACGACAGUACGACACAAUAUAUUUGAAAAAGUGAUUCUUUUCUCCACACGGGGAAGUUUUCCUCGACUUUUUUUCCGACAGGGAACUCAAUGCAGUAAAUUUUAGGAGCAAAACAGUUUGCUCCUAAAAUGUAUUGCAUUGAGUUGGCCAUGUUUUUAAUUUUUUUUCGUGAUUGCGUUCAAAUUUAUACUGGCCGUGCAACGGUUUGCAAGAGGGGGAAUGAAACUGACGUCCAAUCCAUAGAGAUUAUAAAUAACACUAGAGGAGGCACUGUAAUCUUAAUUCAGUAAAAAAAAGGGAACGCGACUAUUGGGGGGCAAAUUCAAGUCCCGGAUGUGCAUUCGUGUUCUCAUUGGUGACGAGUUUCAAAUCAGCCAAUGAGAGCACGAUUUUAUAUCCGGGACUUGAAUUUGCCCCCCAUUAGCUGCGUUCCCAAUUUUUAAACUCG